AUUUCUUGGGAGAAAUUGGUAUCACCAAAAUGCAGAGGUGGAACGGGCUUCCGGGACCUACAUCUUUUCAAUCUGGUUCUAUUGGGAAAGCAUGAUUGGCGAUUCAUGACAAAUCUGAAUUCUCUACGUGUCAGAGUUAUGAAGGGAAGAUAUUUUCCACAUUGUGAUUUUAUGCAAGCAACAGUACCUCAAACAGUUUCAGCAACUUGGAGAGCUAUCGUUGCUGGGAGAGAUGUGCUGCAGCUAGGCAUUAUUCAGAGGAUUGGGGAUGGGACAAGCAUUAACGUGUGGAUGGACAAAUGGAUACCCUCCACUUUAUCUAUCACACCGUUGCUGAAACCGGCCGCUACCACGAUGGAGCAUGUCAGUGAUCUCAUCGAUCAGACAAACUGA
RNAcentral lists this ribosomal RNA (393 nucleotides) under Triticum aestivum (bread wheat). RNAcentral describes it as "partial small subunit ribosomal RNA". Lineage: Eukaryota; Viridiplantae; Streptophyta; Magnoliopsida; Poales; Poaceae. The record is from RNAcentral.